CUACGGGCUGCUCCAGUGAGGAAUAUUGCACAAUGGGGGGAACCCUGAUGCAGCAACGCCGCGUGGAGGAUGACGCAUUUCGGUGUGUAAACUCCUUUUAUAUGUCAAGAAAAUGACGGUAGCAUAUGAAUAAGCGCCGGCUAACUCCGUGCCAGCAGCCGCGGUAAUACUGAGGGCGCAAGCGUUACUCGGAAUCACUGGGCGUAAAGGACGCGUAGGCGGGUUGAAAAGUCAGGUGUGAAAGCCUACAGCUUAACUGUAGAACUGCACUUGAAACUCUCAAUCUAGAGUAUGGGAGGGGGAGAUGGAAUUAGUGGUGUAGGGGUAAAAUCCGUAGAUAUCACUAGGAAUACCUAAAGCGAAGGCGAUCUCCUGGAACAUUACUGACGCUAAGGCGUGAAAGCGUGGGGAGCAAACAGGAUUAGAUACCCGAGUAGUC
Molecule: ribosomal RNA, 439 nt
Filed under: uncultured bacterium
Lineage: Bacteria
Description: partial 16S ribosomal RNA
Rfam family: Bacterial small subunit ribosomal RNA
Source: RNAcentral